GCACGUGUGCAAGACUUCACAACACCAAGCUGUGAGAUCAUAACACAUGAUUGGCACAAUGUAUUCAUAAUAUAUCACAUGACUGGCAACAUGUAUGGACAAAAUA
Molecule: long non-coding RNA, 106 nt
Organism: Alosa sapidissima (American shad)
Lineage: Eukaryota; Metazoa; Chordata; Actinopteri; Clupeiformes; Clupeidae
Exons: 3
Source: RefSeq, a predicted model, not a curated record